This 1442-nucleotide ribosomal RNA is filed under the name uncultured organism. Its description in RNAcentral is "SSU rRNA". It matches the Rfam family "Bacterial small subunit ribosomal RNA". The record is from RNAcentral.
CGCUAGCUACAGGCUUAACACAUGCAAGUCGAGGGGCAGCAUGGUCUUAGCUUGCUAAGGCCGAUGGCGACCGGCGCACGGGUGAGUAACACGUAUCCAACCUGCCGUCUACUCUUGGACAGCCUUCUGAAAGGAAGAUUAAUACAAGAUGGCAUCAUGAGUCCGCAUGUUCACAUGAUUAAAGGUAUUCCGGUAGACGAUGGGGAUGCGUUCCAUUAGAUAGUAGGCGGGGUAACGGCCCACCUAGUCUUCGAUGGAUAGGGGUUCUGAGAGGAAGGUCCCCCACAUUGGAACUGAGGCACGGUCCAAACUCCUACGGGAGGCAGCAGUGAGGAAUAUUGGUCAAUGGGCGAGAGCCUGAACCAGCCAAGUAGCGUGAAGGAUGACUGCCCUAUGGGUUGUAAACUUCUUUUAUAAAGGAAUAAAGUCGGGUAUGCAUACCCGUUUGCAUGUACUUUAUGAAUAAGGAUCGGCUAACUCCGUGCCAGCAGCCGCGGUAAUACGGAGGAUCCGAGCGUUAUCCGGAUUUAUUGGGUUUAAAGGGAGCGUAGAUGGAUGUUUAAGUCAGUUGUGAAAGUUUGCGGCUCAACCGUAAAAUUGCAGUUGAUACUGGAUAUCUUGAGUGCAUUUGACGCAGGCGGAAUUCGUGGUGUAGCGGUGAAAUGCUUAGAUAUCAACAAAGAACUCCGAUUGCGAAGGCAGCCUGCUAAGCUGCAACUGACAUUUGAGGCUUGAAAGUUUGGGUAUCAAACAGGAUUAGAUACCCUGGUAGUCCACACGGUAAACGAUGAAUACUCGCUGUUUGCGAUAUACUGCAAGCGGCCAAGCGAAAGCGUUAAGUAUUCCACCUGGGGAGUACGCCGGCAACGGUGAAACUCAAAGGAAUUGACGGGGGUCCGCACAAGCGGAGGAACAUGUGGUUUAAUUCGAUGAUACGCGAGGAACCUUACCCGGGCUUAAAUUGCAGAUGAAUUACGGUGAAAGCUGUAAGCCGCAAGGCAUCUGUGAAGGUGCUGCAUGGUUGUCGUCAGCUCGUGCCGUGAGGUGUCGGCUUAAGUGCCAUAACGAGCGCAACCCUUGUUGUCAGUUACUAACAGGUUCCGCUGAGGACUCUGACAAGACUGCCAUCGUAAGAUGUGAGGAAGGUGGGGAUGACGUCAAAUCAGCACGGCCCUUACGUCCGGGGCUACACACGUGUUACAAUGGGGGGUACAGAGGGCCGCUACCACGCGAGUGGAUGCCAAUCCCCAAAACCUCUCUCAGUUCGGACUGGAGUCUGCAACCCGACUCCACGAAGCUGGAUUCGCUAGUAAUCGCGCAUCAGCCACGGCGCGGUGAAUACGUUCCCGGGCCUUGUACACACCGCCCGUCAAGCCAUGGGAGCCGGGGGUACCUGAAGUGCGUAACCGCGAGGAGCGCCCUAGGGUAAAACUGGUGACUGG